CCUACGGGUGGCAGCAGUGGGGAAUAUUGCACAAUGGGGGAAACCCUGAUGCAGCGACGCCGCGUGAGUGAAGAAGUAAUUCGUUAUGUAAAGCUCUAUCAGCAGGGAAGAAAAUGACGGUGCCUGAGUAAGAAGCCCCGGCUAACUACGUGCCAGCAGCCGCGGUAAUACGUAGGGGGCAAGCGUUAUCCGGAUGUACGGGGUGUAAGGGGAGCGUAGACGGCUGUGCAGGUCUGAAGUGAAAGCCCGGGGCUGAACCGCGGAACUGCUUGGGAAACUGGAUAGCUUGAGUACUGGAGAGGCAGGCGGAAGUCCUAGUGUAGCGGUGGAAUGCGUAGAUAUUAGGAGGAACACCAGUGGCGAAGGCGGCCUGCUGGACAGAAACUGACGUUGAGGCUCGAAAGCGUGGGGAGCAAACAGGAUUAGAUACCCCUGUAGUC
Molecule: ribosomal RNA, 440 nt
Filed under: uncultured bacterium
Lineage: Bacteria
Description: partial 16S ribosomal RNA
Rfam family: Bacterial small subunit ribosomal RNA
Source: RNAcentral